CCUCUCUCGUUCUCAUCUCUACGAGAAAAAAGUUCCCUCAUCUGAUUAAGAAAUCAUAACUUUGUAAACCUAGAAAACCCUUUUCGGUAAUAAGCCCUAAUUUCUUUCCUAAUUUCUUAAACCCUAGAAAAUUACUCUGAUUAUCUACACAUUUGAGUUUCAAGAAGAAGAUUCAGCUUGAUCCUUACCUGUAAAUCUGAUAUCUGAUUUCAAUAUUGGGUUUUUGGAUUUGUAAUUGUGUUUAAUUUUUUAUUUCUAACUGUCAAUUGUGCUGAGGUAGAGACGUGAUUGCUCAACCUCAAUCUGGUAUUGGAAAAAAUUUCUUUGAUUGCUCUUACUGUUUGUCAAAUCGUUGAUACUUCUAAUCGAGAAGGAGUACCCAGAGGAGGAAGUGAUUGAGAAGAUCAUAUCUAAUAAUAGUGGAGAGCAUUUUGCAGAAACCAGUUCAAGAGCAUGGAAAAUGAGAAGUCCUUGAAACUGUUGUGGAUAUUAAAGAUAGGCAUGAGGCUGCUAAAGAGAUUGAAAGGAGUCUAUUGGGGCUUUACCAGGCCAAGGUUUGUCAGAGAAGCAACAGGAAAUGUAUGUGUAUGGGUUUGUGGAGUUCUCUGUUACUUUGCGCUGCGCUGCUUCUGUAUGGAUCCAAAACAACAAUAUCUCAGUGUGGAUGCUAAUGGUUGGAGGUGCCACAUCAGAACUUGGGUUAUGGAUGUUUGAAUUGUCUGUCACGCAACAAGUGCAGAUCAUCACUUCGUUGGAGGAGUACAGAACUCACUGCAGUACUAUUCAAUUUAUUUUCGUAAUUUCUCAGGUUAAAAAGUAGAGCGAGUGGUUACUUUUGCGUGUAUGAUGCAGUUGGAAGGAGCUUGAUUGAGUUCUAAAUCAGGUGAUACUGAGAUUAGCAGAAGGAGAAGCUUGCUGGUAAUGGAAGAUAAAGUGUGGUGUGACACUUGGUAAUUAUGGUGUUGAACCAGAGAAUGCUAUUGAACUUGGACAGGAUAAUGCUAUUGCUAAAAGAGGUCAAGGUCGUCCACCAACCCCAACUACAGUUGAUAAGGUAUGACACUUGGUAAUAAUGGUGUUAAACUUGAGAUGGAGAAUGCUAUUGAACUUGAACAUGAAAAUGCUAUUGCUGAAAUAGGUCGAGGUCGUCCACCAAAAAAUAGUUCAGGAAGAACAGAGAGGCCCCCGACUAACGCUGAUAAGGUUUACUCAGAGUACUAUAAGAUUUUAGAGAAGUCCGAUUAUCUAACGGGAGAGACUGUUCGUGACAAAUGGUUAGCGAAGCUUCUUCAAGGUAUUGAAUAUGUUUGUGAUUCCAAGGACUAUGUGAAAGAUGAACACAGAGAAAAAUGUGGCUCUUUAUCACUUGAGAAGGAAACUGCCCUCUGGCCGGAUGUUGCUGUUACAGCCAUAAUUGCUCUUGAGAAGGCCUCUCACAAUACUUUCAGUGGUGAUUCUAAAAAAUAUGUAAAGAUUGUGCGCCAGUUGCUUUCAGUGGCGAUUCUGAAAAAUAUAUAAAGAUUGUCUGCUUUAAGUGUUGUUGUUAAUUUAAGUGAUGUUGUUAAUUUGUGGUUUGGUACUUUACCUGGCAUCAAACGAAAAAAGGGAAACAGGAAUUAGAUUCUUCAACCUCGCAAACAAAGAGAAACACUUCAACCGAAGGGCAAGUUAUUGUGACCUCAUCUUAUGUGGAUUGGAGGCAACUAAUGCUUAGAGCUUCCUGUUCCUUUAUUUUAUGUGGUAGGAGGGAAAGUGUUUCAGUGAAAAAUUCUGACCUAGCUGGUAAGUCUAGGGACAGUAAUAACAAAUACAAGGGCAGUAGCAGUAAUGGAAGCAAGUCCAGCGAUGAGAUAUCUACCAAAUCCAAGUAAAAUGCAUAUGACAUCAGUAUUUGUGCUGCAAAAAAGUUCUUUAAUUUUGUUCUCAUUAUGAUUCAUUCUGUGUUGUGCUUCUGGCUAGUAGUAUAUUAAGUAGUAACUUGCACUUUGAAAUUAUUUUGUUGACAGGGAUGAGUAUUAUGCAUGAGGACUGCAUCAGAUAUCUAAGGUUGAGCUUUCUAAAUAGCAACUGCAAACUAGUAAGAGCUUUUACUUGGAUAGUAAAACCUUUGUUUCCUUGUGUUCACAGGAAAGUUUGCUUGAUUAGUAGCUGGCUGGCUCUCUUGGUCAAUACAUCUGCAAGUCCUUCUGCCAG
Molecule: RNA transcript, 2193 nt
Organism: Papaver somniferum (opium poppy)
Lineage: Eukaryota; Viridiplantae; Streptophyta; Magnoliopsida; Ranunculales; Papaveraceae
Exons: 9
Source: RefSeq, a predicted model, not a curated record